GGUCCAGACUCCUACGGGAGGCAGCAGUGGGGAAUAUUGCACAAUGGGGGGAACCCUGAUGCAGCGACGCCGCGUGGGUGAAGGAGCACCUCGGUGCGUAAAGCCCUAUCGGCAGGGAAGAAACAGACGGUACCUGACUAAGAAGCCCCGGCUAACUACGUGCCAGCAGCCGCGGUAAUACGUAGGGGGCAAGCGUUAUCCGGAUUCACUGGGUGUAAAGGGAGCGUAGACGGCCAUGCAAGCCUGGAGUGAAAGCCCGGGGCCCAACCCCGGGACUGCUCUGGGAACUGUGCGGCUGGAGUGCGGGAGGGGCAGGCGGAAUUCCUGGUGUAGCGGUGAAAUGCGUAGAUAUCAGGAGGAACACCGGCGGCGAAGGCGGCCUGCUGGACCGCGACUGACGUUGAGGCUCGAAAGCGUGGGGAGCACACAGGAUUAGAUACCCCUGUA
Molecule: ribosomal RNA, 447 nt
Filed under: uncultured bacterium
Lineage: Bacteria
Description: bacterial SSU rRNA
Rfam family: Bacterial small subunit ribosomal RNA
Source: RNAcentral